GUUUUAUUUAAGGCAGGCAUUAUUUCAGUUCUGGUGCCUUCAGAGAGAUAUUCCCACAGAUACAUAAAAAGUAACGUGGGAGAAUAAAAACCUUUCAUACCUUACAGACCCCUCUAGAGAACACGAGGAUGAGCCAUUCACUGCAAGACAGAAGUUGGGCCCUGCCUUUGAGGGUGUUGAGGGUUAGGUGUCCUUUUGUUAUUGUUGUUGUUCUGGCCUGCCCGUGGAAUUUUUACCCAUUAGCUGAGGAGACAACCUAAGUGUGGGGAUUUAGUGGGUGAUUGAUAAAGGACAAAGAGUGGCCGGGCCCGGGGGGGAAGAGGGCAGGAAAGGAGGGUGGGGACAGUUUUUGGCUGGCUUUCUUCGGUUUUGGGGAAAGACAUUCGUUUGCUGGGUCUCGGAGCUGUUGUGGUGGGGAGAAGGGAAUUUCGGCAUCACCCAGACGGAGCUGCUGCUGCUUCUCCUUCUUCCCUCUUUGUUGGUGGCCUCGUACUCCCUGUCCUGCCGGGACGUGUGGCAGUGCCAGGCACCGCCACGGAGCUGCUGAUCCACCUCAUCCACCGGCCCGGGAUCUCAGCUCAUCCCUGCUGAUCCACCUCAUCCACUGCCCCAGGAUCUCAGCUCAUCCCUGCUGUUCCACCUCAUCCACCAGCCCAGGAUCUCAGCUCAUCCCUGCUGUUCCACCUCAUCCACUGCCCCAGGAUCUCAGCUCAUCCCUGCUGUUCCACCUCAUCCACUGGCCCAGGAUCUCAGCUCGUCCCUGCUGUUCCAGCCGAGUGUUCCUCAGAGCCCUGCAGGAGCACCGGCACUGCCUGAGGGGGUUUGUGAAACAAAGCCUCUCCCCCAUCCCAUCUCAGCUGAGAAAGCUGUCCCGGGGUCCCUGGUUCUGUUCUUGUUAUUGCUGUAGUUAUUGUUUGUUUGCCUGGUUAUACACACUAGUAAAGAACUGUUAUUCCUAUCUCCAGAUCUCUGCCUUAGGGCCCCUUGAUUUCAGAAUGAUAAUAAUUCGGAGGGAGGGG
Molecule: long non-coding RNA, 1019 nt
Filed under: Cyanistes caeruleus (blue tit)
Lineage: Eukaryota; Metazoa; Chordata; Aves; Passeriformes; Paridae
Description: lncRNA (ENSCCEG00000005542.1)
Source: RNAcentral